GUGGGGAAUAUUGCGCAAUGGGCGAAAGCCUGACGCAGCGACGCCGCGUGAGGGAUGACGGCCUUCGGGUUGUAAACCUCUUUCAGCAGGGACGAAGCGCUUGUGACGGUACCUGCAGAAGAAGCGCCGGCUAACUACGUGCCAGCAGCCGCGGUAAGACGUAGGGCGCGAGCGUUGUCCGGAUUUAUUGGGCGUAAAGAGCUCGUAGGCGGUUUGUCACGUCUGUCGUGAAAGAUCCAGGCUUAACCUGGGUUCUGCGGUGGAUACGGGCAGACUUGAGGCAAGUAGGGGAGAACGGAAUUCCAUGUGUAGCGGUGAAAUGCGCAGAUAUGUGGAGGAACACCGGUGGCGAAGGCGGUUCUCUGGGCUUGUUCUGACGCUGAGGAGCGAAAGCGUGGGGAGCGAACAGGAUUAGAAACCCUUGUAGUCC
RNAcentral lists this ribosomal RNA (430 nucleotides) under uncultured bacterium. RNAcentral's name for it is "bacterial SSU rRNA". It matches the Rfam family "Bacterial small subunit ribosomal RNA", at positions 354 to 796 of the family's 1533-position model. The record is from RNAcentral.